This 513-nucleotide ribosomal RNA is filed under the name uncultured bacterium. RNAcentral describes it as "partial 16S ribosomal RNA". It matches the Rfam family "Bacterial small subunit ribosomal RNA", at positions 28 to 523 of the family's 1533-position model. The record is from RNAcentral.
GAUGAACGCUGGCGGCGUGCCUAAUACAUGCAAGUCGAGCGAACGGAUAAGGAGCUUGCUCCUUUGAAGUUAGCGGCGGACGGGUGAGUAACACGUGGGUAACCUACCUAUAAGACUGGAAUAACUUCGGGAAACCGGAGCUAAUGCCGGAUAACAUUUGGAACUGCAUGGUUCUAAAGUAAAAGAUGGUUUUGCUAUUCCUUAGAGAUGGACCCGCGCCGUAGUAGCUAGUUGGUAAGGUAACGGCUUACCAAGGCAACGAUACGUAGCCGACCUGAGAGGGUGAUCGGCCACACUGGAACUGAGACACGGUCCAGACUCCUACGGGAGGCAGCAGUAGGGAAUCUUCCGCAAUGGACGAAAGUCUGACGGAGCAACGCCGCGUGAGUGAUGAAGGUUUUCGGAUCGUAAAACUCUGUUAUUAGGGAAGAACAAAUGUGUAAGUAACUGUGCACAUCUUGACGGUACCUAAUCAGAAAGCCACGGCUAACUACGUGCCAGCCGCCGCAGUAA